CGAGUCGGCACCUCGUAUGGGGUCCGUCCGCGCCGCCCCGGCGGCCGGAUGCAUGGACCCGCGAUGACCCGGUGGGGUGAGAGGAGUUCGCACAUG
Molecule: non-coding RNA, 96 nt
Filed under: unclassified sequences
Description: malK-III RNA
Rfam family: malK-III RNA
Source: RNAcentral